GGAGAAUUAGUUCAGUUGGUAGAACGGUGGACUGUUAAUCCAUAUGUCGCAGGUUCGAACCCUGCAUUCUCCU
RNAcentral lists this transfer RNA (73 nucleotides) under Mannheimia varigena USDA-ARS-USMARC-1296. Its description in RNAcentral is "tRNA-Asn (GTT) (tRNA-Asn-GTT-1-1)". It matches the Rfam family "tRNA". Rfam says of the family: Transfer RNA (tRNA) molecules are approximately 80 nucleotides in length. Their secondary structure includes four short double-helical elements and three loops (D, anti-codon, and T loops). Further hydrogen bonds mediate the characteristic L-shaped molecular structure. tRNAs have two regions of fundamental functional importance: the anti-codon, which is responsible for specific mRNA codon recognition, and the 3' end, to which the tRNAs corresponding amino acid is attached (by aminoacyl-tRNA synthetases). tRNAs cope with the degeneracy of the genetic code in two manners: having more than one tRNA (with a specific anti-codon) for a particular amino acid; and 'wobble' base-pairing, i.e. permitting non-standard base-pairing at the 3rd anti-codon position. The record is from Rfam by way of RNAcentral. Lineage: Bacteria; Pseudomonadati; Pseudomonadota; Gammaproteobacteria; Pasteurellales; Pasteurellaceae.